ACGGGUGUAGCUCAGUUGGUAGAGUACUGGUCUCCAAAACCAUUGGUCGUGGGUUCGAAUCCUACCGCCCGUGCAA
Molecule: transfer RNA, 76 nt
Filed under: Brumimicrobium aurantiacum
Lineage: Bacteria; Pseudomonadati; Bacteroidota; Flavobacteriia; Flavobacteriales; Crocinitomicaceae
Also listed under: 1 other name
Description: tRNA-Trp
Rfam family: tRNA
About the family: Transfer RNA (tRNA) molecules are approximately 80 nucleotides in length. Their secondary structure includes four short double-helical elements and three loops (D, anti-codon, and T loops).
Source: RNAcentral